UACGUAGGGUGCGAGCGUUAAUCGGAAUUACUGGGCGUAAAGCGUGCGCAGGCGGUUUUGCAAGCCGGAUGUGAAAUCCCCGGGCUCAACCUGGGAAUGGCAUUUGGGACUGCAAGGCUCGAGUGCGGCAGAGGAGACUGGAAUUCCUGGUGUAGCAGUGAAAUGCGUAGAUAUCAGGAGGAAUACCGAUGGCGAAGGCAGGUCUCUGGGCUGACACCGACGCUCAUGCACGAAAGCGUGGGGAGCAAACAGG
RNAcentral lists this ribosomal RNA (253 nucleotides) under uncultured bacterium. Its description in RNAcentral is "partial 16S ribosomal RNA". It matches the Rfam family "Bacterial small subunit ribosomal RNA", at positions 524 to 776 of the family's 1533-position model. The record is from RNAcentral.